This 253-nucleotide ribosomal RNA is filed under the name uncultured bacterium. Its description in RNAcentral is "partial 16S ribosomal RNA". It matches the Rfam family "Bacterial small subunit ribosomal RNA", at positions 524 to 776 of the family's 1533-position model. The record is from RNAcentral.
UACGGAGGGUGCAAGCGUUGUCCGGAUUUAUUGGGUUUAAAGGGUGCGUAGGCGGCCCGUUAAGUCAGCGGUGAAAUCCCGGGGCUCAACCCCGGAACUGCCGUUGAUACUGGCGGGCUUGAGUUCGGUAGAGGCGGGCGGAACUCAUGGUGUAGCGGUGAAAUGCAUAGAUACCAUCCAGAACCCCGAUUGCGAAGGCAGCUGCCUAGACUGUAACUGACGCUGAGGCACGAAAGCGUGGGGAGCGAACAGG